This 253-nucleotide ribosomal RNA is filed under the name uncultured bacterium. Its description in RNAcentral is "partial 16S ribosomal RNA". It matches the Rfam family "Bacterial small subunit ribosomal RNA", at positions 524 to 776 of the family's 1533-position model. The record is from RNAcentral.
UACGUAGGGGGCGAGCGUUGUCCGGAAUUAUUGGGCGUAAAGAGCGUGUAGGCGGUUCGGUAAGUCUGCCGUGAAAACCUGGGGCUCAACCCCGGGCGUGCGGUGGAUACUGCCGGGCUAGAGGGUGGUAGAGGCGAGUGGAAUUCCCGGCGUAGCGGUGAAAUGCGCAGAUAUCGGGAGGAACACCAGUAGCGAAGGCGGCUCGCUGGGCCAUUCCUGACGCUGAGACGCGAAAGCUAGGGGAGCGAACAGG